CCCUUAGAUGUUCUGGGCCGCACGCGCGCUACAAUGAUGAAUUCAGCGAGUUUAUAACCUUGGUUGAAAAGCCUGGGUAAUCUUUUGAACUUUCGUCGUGAUGGGGCUAGACCCUUGCAAUUAUUGGUCUCCAACGAGGAAUUCCUAGUAAACGCAAGUCAUCAGCUUGCAUUGAUUACGUCCCUGCCCUUUGUACACACCGCCCGUCGCACCUACCGAUUGAAUGGUCCGGUGAAAUCUUCGGAUUGAGACUUUGUUUUCUUCACGGAAAACGCUGUUUUAAAAAGUUGAUUAAACCUUACCAUUUAGAGGAAGGUGAAGUCGUAACA
RNAcentral lists this ribosomal RNA (329 nucleotides) under uncultured eukaryote. RNAcentral's name for it is "partial 18S ribosomal RNA". It matches the Rfam family "Eukaryotic small subunit ribosomal RNA", at positions 1470 to 1796 of the family's 1831-position model. The record is from RNAcentral.